Molecule: non-coding RNA, 407 nt
Organism: Hydra vulgaris (swiftwater hydra)
Lineage: Eukaryota; Metazoa; Cnidaria; Hydrozoa; Anthoathecata; Hydridae
Source: RefSeq, a predicted model, not a curated record
CAAUGGCCAAGCAUUGAUGUGCAACUUGGUGAACUACAAAAUACAUCAAAUUCAGUUAUAAAAAUUUGAAUAACAAAGGUAUGCUAAUUAUUCUAUUGCUUAAAAGAGUGUCAUUGCCAUUAAAAGCAGUGAAGAAUUCAAGUACUCUGGAAGAAAAAAGACAAGAAAACACUUAAGUAAAUGGUUGUGUAUUUUUGCAGGUUAAUUAUUUGGCAUAAAUUGGAGUUAAAGACAAAGGAGAUUGUAUAUAUUAUUUACUAAGAAUUGUUUUUUAAAAUGGCUGUAAAAUUAAACUACGAGAGGACAAAAACUUGGAAUGGGAAAAAUGUUGAUUGCAUAUGUUGCUAUUGAAACUGUGAAGUCAAAUAAGCAUGGCUUAUGCAGACAUGUGAUAGAGAUAGCGGAAG